Molecule: microRNA, 20 nt
Filed under: Ciona intestinalis (vase tunicate)
Lineage: Eukaryota; Metazoa; Chordata; Ascidiacea; Phlebobranchia; Cionidae
Description: cin-miR-4000b-5p
Source: miRBase by way of RNAcentral
UGAAACUUGCAGGAACGGGC